RNAcentral lists this ribosomal RNA (433 nucleotides) under uncultured bacterium. RNAcentral's name for it is "partial 16S ribosomal RNA". It matches the Rfam family "Bacterial small subunit ribosomal RNA", at positions 29 to 507 of the family's 1533-position model. The record is from RNAcentral.
AACGAACGCUGGCGGCAUGCCUAACACAUGCAAGUCGAACGAAACCUUCGGGUCUAGUGGCGCACGGGUUCGUAACGCGUGGGAACCUUCCCUUAGGGUCGGAAUAACUCCCCGAAAGGGGUGCUAAUACCGGAUAAUGUCUUCGGACCAAAGAUUUAUCGCCUUUGGAUGGGCCCUCGUUGGAUUAGCUAGUUGUUAGGGUAAAAGCCUACCAAGGCGACGAUGCAUAGCUGGUUAGAGAGGAAGAUCAGCCACACUGGGACUGAGACACGGCCCAGACUCCUACGGGAGGCAGCAGUGGGGAAUAUUGGACCAUGGGGGAAAGCAUGAUGCAGCAAUGACGCGUGAGUGAUGAAGGCCUUAGGGUUGUAAAGCUCUUUUAACCGGGAUGAUAAUGACAGUACCGGGAGAAUAAGCUCCGGCUAACUCCGUG